RNAcentral lists this small nuclear RNA (149 nucleotides) under Microtus ochrogaster (prairie vole). RNAcentral's name for it is "U12 minor spliceosomal RNA (ENSMOCG00000008560.1)". The record is from RNAcentral. Lineage: Eukaryota; Metazoa; Chordata; Mammalia; Rodentia; Cricetidae.
AUGCCCUAAACUUAGGAGUACAAAAAUAGUAAUUUUCUGUGGUGCCAGAGUUCUCAAUGCUUACAUGAGAUGAAGUCUGGAGCAAGUAAAAGGUUGCCUCUUAGGUGACCCAACCACAUUUUGGGAUGCCUGGCUUUGUGAUCCUCCAG